ACUCACAAAUUUUCCCAUUUUGUGGUCAGCCCUGAACACACAAGGUCUAAGAUGGACUUGAGGCUGAGCUGGAUUUUCCUUUUUGCUCUUUUCAAAGGUGUCCAGUGUGAUGUACAGCUGGUGGAGACUGGGGGAGGCUUGGUACAGCCUGGAGGGUCCCUAAAACUCUCCUGUGCAGCCUCUGGAUUCACAUUCAGUGACUACUGGAUGAACUGGGUUCGGCAGGCGCCAGGGAAGGGCCUAGAGUGGAUUGCUCUAAUUGAACAUAAACCUAAUAAUUAUGCAACAAGCUAUUCAGAGUCAGUGAAAGGCAGAUUCACCAUCUCAAGAGAUGAUUCCAAAAGCAUCGUGUAUCUGCAAAUGAACAGCUUAAGAGUUGAAGACACCGCCAUUUAUUACUGUACUAGAGACACAGAGUUUGGCCCACUGUUAGUUGUGGAUCUCUACGUCUACUUCCAUCAGUUCCUGGAUGAAGUUCUUAUGAUGAUAAUUAAGGAAGACAUCAAUCAGAUUACAGUGGAAGGCCACCUCAUGUACCCUCAUCACUGUAGUUUAGGGACUACCAUUCCAUCAGUGGCACCACCUGAUGAAAUGGGCACACCUACACUAAUCAUCAACAGAAAAACUCUCAAAAAGACUGGAAAUGAAUAA
Molecule: non-coding RNA, 651 nt
Organism: Arvicola amphibius (Eurasian water vole)
Lineage: Eukaryota; Metazoa; Chordata; Mammalia; Rodentia; Cricetidae
Source: the annotation of a RefSeq genome assembly